RNA transcript from Ornithorhynchus anatinus (platypus), 4951 nucleotides. It is a transcript of the gene named protein adenylyltransferase SelO, with no coding region annotated. The transcript is spliced from 23 exons. The record is from RefSeq and is a predicted model, not a curated record. NCBI's taxonomy places the organism in Eukaryota, Metazoa, Chordata, Mammalia, Monotremata, Ornithorhynchidae.
AGUCCCCGGCGCCAUUUUCCCUGAGCGCCGGUCCCCGUGGGGAGGAGCGAGGCGUCCCCUCCCCGCUCGGUUCGCCCCGCCUCAGGGUCGGCCCGACGCCCCCGAUCCCCACAAUCUGCUCGGCCUGCGCCUUGUCCGGCCUUUCCUCCCCGAGGAGGAAGAAGGAGCAGCAGCCAACGGCCCCCCGGCCCCGCCUCCCUCCCUUCCUCCCGCCCCCCUUCUCUCUCCAUUGUCUUUUGCCGGCCUGUCUCCUCCCGUCAGCUGUGAGCUUUUUAAAAGGAGCUUGAAGUUCUCACAGUACCCGACGCCAUCGUCCUCAGCGCUCUGGCCCAAGCGCUUAACAACGUCUGCUUUUCGGGAGCACCUUUACCCCCACGGCCCGCUCGUGUUUUCGACUCUCUGCUGCUUUAUCGCGCUCAACCGAGCGCUUACUACAGUGCUGUGCACACACCCUUAGGUGGAAAUAUGCAAGAAAGAGGGGGGAUCAUGCUCCCCAGUUACCACCUACUCUGGUUUAUUUGCCUGCUGAUGUUUGGUUUGGACCCUCUCGUUUGUGCCUUGCUGGAAUCCGCCCUUGACAGAGGUGUCAACCUGAAGGUUCGUUACGUCAGUAAACUGAACAGCAGCCAUGGUUACUGUGAAAAGAAAAUGAAAAUGGUGUCAUUUGAUGCAUGGAGUCUUUCAACAGAAAAGCUAGGAAUCUUGCCAAUAGAUCCUAUUGGAGAAAACUAUGUACGUGAAGUGAAACACUGCAUUUUUUCCAUUGUCUAUCCUACUCCUUUCCAAUCAAGAGUACAUCUGGCAGCAGUUUCAAAGGAAGUUUUGGAAGACAUUUUAGAUCUUGAUGUAUCGAUCUCCAAGACAGAUGAUUUUAUACAACUCGUAAGUGGUGGGAAAAUAGUGUCGGAAUCUAUUCCACUGGCCCACAGAUAUGGAGGUCAUCAGUUUGGAACCUGGGCAGGACAGCUUGGGGAUGGAAGAGCCCAUCUUAUUGGCAUUUACACCAACAGGCAUGGUGAGCAAUGGGAACUCCAGUUAAAAGGCUCAGGAAGGACCCCAUACUCAAGAAAUGGUGAUGGAAGAGCUGUGCUUCGUUCCUCGGUGAGAGAGUUUUUAGGUAGUGAGGCCAUGCAUUAUCUUGGGAUUCCAACAAGCAGAGCUGUAAGCCUAGUUGUUAGUUAUGAUGAUGUAUGGAGAGAUCAAUUCUACAAUGGAAACAGAGGAAAAGAAAGAGGUGCAGUAGUCCUGCGUAUUGCAAAAUCAUGGUUUCGUAUUGGAUCAUUAGAAAUUUUGGCUCAUUAUGGGGAAAAGGAUUUAUUAAGGACAUUAUUAGAUUUUGUCAUACAGGAACAUUUUACUUCAGUAGAUGUGAAUGAUCACAACAGCUACUUGGAUUUUUUCUCGGCUGUUGUGUCUGAAACCACAAGUCUUAUUGCUUUAUGGAUGUCUGUGGGUUUUGCUCAUGGCGUUUGUAAUACUGAUAACUUCAGUUUGUUGUCCAUUACAAUAGAUUAUGGUCCUUUUGGUUUUAUGGAAUCCUACGAUCCAAAUUUUGUUCCAAACGCAUCUGAUGAUGAAAGGAGAUAUAAAAUAGGCAAUCAGGCCAGUGUUGGGUUGUUUAAUCUGAACAAGCUAUUACAAGUUCUAAAUCCUUUAUUGGAUCCUGGACAGAAACAGCUUGCUGUCCAGAUUCUUGAGAAAUAUCCUGAUCUUUAUAAUAAAAGAAUUAAGGAGCUCUUCAAAGCCAAAUUGGGUUUCCUUGGAGAGAGGAAAGGUGAUGGUUAUUUGAUUGCAUUUCUUCUGCGACUCAUGGAAGAGACGAAAGCUGAUUUUACAAUGACAUUUCGGCAGCUCAGUGAAAUUACUCAGGAGCAGCUUCAGGAGCUCAACAUUCCUCAGGAAUUUUGGGCAUUGAAGGACAUUUCAGAACAUAAGCUCUUUCCUGACUGGGUGACCAUGUAUCUUUUGAGACUGAAGAGUAACUUGGAUGACUCAGAUGCUAAGAGAAGAAAAAGGAUGACAAGUGUCAACCCUAGAUAUGUACUUAAGAACUGGAUGGCAGAAUCUGCGGUGAGAAAAGCCGAAAUGAAUGAUUUUUCAGAGGUUCGUUUUCUCCAUCAAGUUCUCCAGCAUCCUUUCCAGAAGCAAACUGCAGCAGAGAAAGCAGGAUACUCUUCCCCUUCCCCUUUCUGGGCCAAAGAUCUCCGGGUCAGCUGUUCAUCUUGAUAAAGAGCUCCCCUUUAGGACUUUGCAAAUGAUGUUCCAGAAGCUUCGAACCUUUUUAUGCUAAACCCGAGUUAAGACUUCUUUCAUCUAAUUUUGUGUAUCGGAUUCCUGAAAAGUCUGUGUUAAAAGAAAUGGAGCAGUCUUCAGAAAACAGUUCGGUCUCCUUAGAGAUCCUACAGAGAAGACCGACGGAGGCCAAUCUGGAGGAGGAAACCCUUUACAUUCUACAGAUAACCUUCUGAUUUUAAAAAAGCCAUGGGGAGGACAUUCAGAAACAGGAAAUAUACCGAAUACAGAUCUGAUUCUGCUCCUCCUCGGAUUGACGAAACAUUCUCGAGACACAAAACCCGGCAAAACCGCAUCUGCCACAUUACUCCUGGUUCUGCUCUUUGCUUCAGUCUGAGAAACCUAUUUUAGUACUUUUGAGUGGACUUCAGCUAUAUCCAAGGUAGGUCAGGGGAACAUGUAUGGGUUCAGAUAAUCUCAUUUGCUAUUUAAAACACACCAGGGAAUCUGUGUGAUUUUGAAAACCGCUUAACGAAUUACAAUUGGUGCUGUCUACACACAACCGCUCCGUGAACAUACCUUAGCCACGUUGAAGUCUUGCUGUGCUUCUUGCAAAACCGAGCUAACAGAGUGGGUGGUCUGGGGGAUCUGUCCAUUUGGCUGCCCAGGACCUGCAGAUGCAGAAAGAGGAUAAGGACAUCAAUCUGUAGUCACUAGGACUUCCCUUAUAUUGCCUUAUCCCUGUUUUAGUGGGUUAGAGCAUAGGAAAUGUUCUUUCUCCCCAGUGAAUGGGAGAGUCUGCGUUGGAUUUGCAUUUCCUGAAGCUCCAGGGGUACUGCUUCAGGUCUGUAGUGCCACCCAGAGACUAUGCUGCCACAUUCCUCUUUUGCACUCUCUCUAGGGUGGCAGAGGAAGGGAGUCAGGCUUCUCUGCUGCCUUCUUGAGUGCCACAGGACACCACUGACCCAGAGAUUAAACUGGAAAUGGUUCCUGGGUACACUGAGCACUGGUACUGCUUCCGUUGCCCAUGCCUCUGCUACCCAUGGAGGCCAGCAAGGGCAGAGGAGAGAGCUGGAGAGGGCCCAGUAUGGUAGUUCAGGUCCUCAGAGCAGUCACUGUGCCACUUCCAGUUUAUCCUCAGGUUGGUGGUGCCUAGGUUGAGCACCACCUCUAAGCAGCAUUCCAGCCUGGGAAUCCUAGCAACCUGAACCAAUGGUCAGCAGGCUCCUUCUCCAUUCCGACACGGGAAGUUACACUGCAAGGAAGGCCCUAUUCCCCCCAAACACACAGCAUCCCUGCAUUCAUCCAUUCAGUCGCAUUUGUUGCAUGCCUUAGCCGGUACAAGGAAAGGAAAAACCAUGGUCUUUACUCUUGAGAAGCCUGCAAUCUGUGGGAGAUGGGUAAACAAACUGCAUACAUAUAAAAGAAAGUGGGGUGAAAGCUGUAGAUUCAGUUCAUAGUAGUUAAGAGUAUUGAAAAAUUAACACGGAAAUGGAGUAUGGAAAUAUCUAUAUACAGUGCAUUGGGUGGCUCUUAAGACGAUCUGACCAGAAGUGGUGGAAAUUCAGGUGAGACAUGCCUCAUGGAAGAGACUUUAUCAGGAGGGCCUUGGUCUGGCAGCUUUGAAGAGGGAAAAUCCAGGCUGGAUCAGAAACAGGAGAGAUGAAUUGGUUCAGUUAGAUUAGUUAGCGAGGAACAAAGAUGACAAGUGAGGGUGUAGUGGAUGAAAAGAACAGAUGUAGGAAGAGCCGGAAGAGGACUCCUGCACCCAUAAUUGGCAUAAUCAAGAGUUUACUAUUCUGUCAACCUGCCAGGGAGAGUAGCCUUCACAUUCAAACUUAAUGAAAUGUGUUAGACAAAAAGCUUUUCCCGAAAACUUGUAACUACAACACUGCAAGAAAAACCCACAUAACUACCCAAAUGGAUACCUUAGAAUGGCAGGAUAGGCUUAUUAUUUCUUCAUUAUUUCCAGUAAAGCCUGCUUACUUAAAAACCUCAUAAUCCUCUACAGUAAUUUUUUGUCAGCUCCUUUGCUUCCUGUCCCCUUAUGACAAAUGGAGCUUUUUGGGAUAAUCUUCUGAUAAAGGCUUACGGAGCUUCAAAAAAGCAAACAAAAAGCCACCAUCAUUUUGAUUAGCCAUGCUUUUCCUAGGGACUCCUGAAGGGAAGACUCAGGAAGGCAGACUGAAAGAAUGGAAUAUGUUAUUUUUUAAAGAAAGGCAGGUAGGAACUAAAAAAAAAUAAAUCAGAACUCAAAUCUCAAAUACGUUUACACAGGGAGGAAACUUUGGGAGAAGACACCUUCAAAGGAAUAAAAAUAACCCCAUUAUUGAAAGGAGAGGGAGGUCGCCAGAAUUUGCUCUCCUUUGGCUGUAUCUGUAUCUAUAGCUUGAUAGAUAUAGAUACAUACACGGAGGAUUUCUGUUUGGAAAUCUCUCUCACCUGCUCACUUAAUUCAGGGCUAUUAAAGUGAAUAUUUGGAGUGAGUAUUACAGAUGAAGAUUUUAUCACUGCAAGAACAAUGCCACAUUAAUGGUAUUAGCAGUAUAUUUUUCUAUUGGACUAAUGAACGUAUGGUUAAACUUCACAAAGCACUAAAAAUUGUGUUCUUGGGAAAUACCAGGCUCGUCAAUGGAAAAUACAGAGCUAUGUUCUUGGGUUUCAUAAUUUAUACACCUAAAAAAAUCAUUUGAUGAGAAUAAACCCCAAAUUUAAAGUG